This 632-nucleotide ribosomal RNA is filed under the name Euphysa tentaculata. Its description in RNAcentral is "partial 16S ribosomal RNA". It matches the Rfam family "Bacterial large subunit ribosomal RNA", at positions 1798 to 2612 of the family's 2925-position model. The record is from RNAcentral. Lineage: Eukaryota; Metazoa; Cnidaria; Hydrozoa; Anthoathecata; Corymorphidae.
GACUGUUUACCAAAAACAUAGCCCUUAAAUUUAAUUAAAGGUGAUACCUGCCCAGUGAUAAUAACAAAAAAUUUUAAUAUAAUUUCAUAUUUAUUAAAUGGAUGCGGUAACUCUGACCGUAAUAAAGUAGCAUAAUUAAUUACCACUUAAUUGGUGGAGAGUAUGAAUGGUGACACGAACUUCUCAUUGUCUUGAUUAAAAUUUUUUAAAAUUGAAUUAAUAGUGAAGAUGCUGUUUAAAAUCGUAAGACGAAAAGACCCUAUAGAGCUUUACUAUAAAUUUUAAUAUAUAAUAAAAAUAAAUUUAUUUUUAUAAUUUAGAAUUUGGUAGUUUAGUUGGGGCGACUAUCUUUUAAAAAUAACAAAGAUAAGUAAAAUUAAUAAUAUAAUUUAUUGUAUAAUUUAUUUAUUUAACAAUUAUUAAAGUAGGCUAUAAUGACCCGUUAGAUUAUAUAAAAAUAAUUAACGAUUAAUUAAUAAAAGCUACCUUAGGGAUAACAGGAUAAUUUUGUUUUAGAGUUCUUAUCAAUUACAAAGUUUGUCACCUCUAUGUUGAAUUAAGAUAUCCUAAUAAUGCAGAAGUUAUUAAAGGUAGGUCUGUUCGACCUUUAAAAUCUUACAUGAUUUGAGUUC